GACGAACGCUGGCGGCGUGCUUAACACAUGCGAGUCGAACGGAAAGGCCCUGCUUGCAGGGUACUCGAGUGGCGAACGGGUGAGUAACACGUGGGUGAUCUGCCCUGCACUUCGGGAUAAGCCUGGGAAACUGGGUCUAAUACCGGAUAGGAGCCAUUUUUAGUGUGAUGGUUGGAAAGUUUUUUCGGUGUAGGAUGAGCUCGCGGCCUAUCAGCUUGUUGGUGGGGUAAUGGCCUACCAAGGCGGCGACGGGUAGCCGGCCUGAGAGGGUGGACGGCCACAUUGGGACUGAGAUACGGCCCAGACUCCUACGGGAGGCAGCAGUGGGGAAUAUUGCACAAUGGGCGCAAGCCUGAUGCAGCGACGCCGCGUGGGGGAUGACGGCCUUCGGGUUGUAAACUCCUUUCGCUAGGGACGAAGCUUUUUGUGACGGUACCUAGAUAUGAAGCACCGGCUAACUACGUG
This 465-nucleotide ribosomal RNA is filed under the name uncultured bacterium. RNAcentral describes it as "partial 16S ribosomal RNA". It matches the Rfam family "Bacterial small subunit ribosomal RNA", at positions 28 to 507 of the family's 1533-position model. The record is from RNAcentral.